Erinaceus europaeus (western European hedgehog) is the source of this 659-nucleotide long non-coding RNA. RefSeq lists it as uncharacterized. The transcript is spliced from 3 exons. Lineage: Eukaryota; Metazoa; Chordata; Mammalia; Eulipotyphla; Erinaceidae. The record is from RefSeq and is a predicted model, not a curated record.
CCCGCUCCCCUGCAUGUCAGGGUCUGUUCAAAUCAAGGUACAUAUCAGAGCCGGGCAGCGGUGCAUCCGGUUAAGCUCAGGACCCGGGCAAGGACACGGGUUCGAGCUCCCCCCGCCCCACCUGCAGGGGGGACACUUCACAAGUGGUGUACAUAAAGAAGUAUGUAACAUUUGUGAAAUGAUAAAGCUACAGAGAUGGGGGAAAGAUUCGUGACUUUUAGGAGCUGGGAUUGGACAGUGACAGGUGACUUUCCCUGGUGAAAAUCUGUCUAUACCCCGUAACUGCUGCUGGGAGCAGGGAGGAGCCGUGAAAUGCGUCUCCACUACAGCUCGUGUCCUGUGAGUGUCAGACCCUUGCCCACCACAUCAGAGUGAGCAGAGUCUGGUGGAGUCUUUCAUCUCUAAUCUGAGAACGGCGCCUCCUCCACCACCCAACAGAAGCUCCUGCCAGCUGAGUCGGUCAACGGAGGAGUGGCAGGAGCUUCUCACCAGGGGCCACUGCUGCUCUUGGCCGCCUCCCCCAGGUUGGCACCUAGGCCCUGCGCCCUGGGCGUCAAUCCUGCCUCCGGGGGCCUAGUUGCAGAUCACGAAAUAUACACCUUGGCCACCCUCAGCGGAAUGGUGUCUCUUAAAGGGUGUCAGGUGAUGCACAGGUACCG